RNAcentral lists this long non-coding RNA (3532 nucleotides) under Lupinus angustifolius (narrow-leaved blue lupine). RNAcentral describes it as "long non-coding RNA (LANG_LNC000529)". The record is from RNAcentral. Lineage: Eukaryota; Viridiplantae; Streptophyta; Magnoliopsida; Fabales; Fabaceae.
CUGCUAUAUACUCUGUUUCCGUAGUGGAAAGAGCAACCACUGAUAUUUCUUUGAGGACCAAGAAACAGCAGUGAACCCCAUCAUAAACACAAAUCCAGAAGUAAUUUUCCGAUUGUCUAAGUCGCCGACAUAGUCAUUGUUUGUAAAGGUUGUAAAUCUCAAGUUGUUUUCUCCUUUCUUAUAAAGAAUCUCAAGAUCAGUUGUCAUUCAUAACUCAAAGCAUUGUAAUUUAAGGAUUAGGAAAAUCCUAGUUGCGGUUAGGUAAGGUGUUCUUCACAAAGAUUUGGAGGUCUUGGGAUAAAGAGCGAUAUCUUGGCUGCGGCCGAAUCGCGGUAAGAAAGGUUUUCUUGGGAGGCGAUUUUAGAAAAGGUCAAACCAAGGGUGACGAAGUUCUUUGGGUUCCAAGAAAGGAGCAUUUGAGUCUUGUAAUUGGAAGUGUGUAUGUAACUAUACAUUGUGUACUAUAGUGAAGAAGAAAAUCUCCCAAGAUUAGAAUGGGAGGUCUGGAUUUAGUUUUUCAGUAGACCGCAAAACGAACCAGGAUAAAAUCCUUGCACAAUAUUUUAUAUUCCUUUCUCUUUUACAUUUCAAGUUGUAAUAUUGCAUGAUAUAACAUGAUAAUUUAUAUACUGGUUUUGUGCUAUAACUAGUUGAAUUUUGUGUAAAAAUAUUUGUUUUAUCAUUGCCUAAUUUCUCGUAACCUGCCUUGCAAGAGAGCUGUUAAACAAGAUUUUAUGCGUUCUGUUUUUACUGUGUUUAAUCGAUUAUGAACAGUGCUUAAUCGAUUAUGAAUAGUGCUUAAUCGAUUAACUGAGCAUUUUUCAGAAAGUGUGCAAAAACCUAAAAAGCAGAACUUGAGCUCCGCUAUACCUAUUCAACCUCACCCCCUUCUAGGUGUAUUUUGUCCACUGAUACCUAACACACGCGUAUGCGGUUGAGCUAGCACGUCGUACUAGCUCUAAUACCACUUGUUAGGUAUUAGUGACAGAAUACACCUAGAAGGGGGGUUGAAUAGGUGUCGCGGUUCCCAAAUACCGCUUUUUGCACCAAAUCCCUAUUCUAGAAAACGCCUAGUUAAUCGAUUAAAGCACUGACUUAAUCGAUUAUAACGCACAAAACAAACAGUUGAUGAAUGGCUUGAUUGCACAGCCACUCAUCGAUAUUACAGAAAUGAUACAACAGAUAUAUUUGAAUAAAAUUAAUCACUAUAUGGAAGAAUCACAGUAUUCAAAUUAUCAGCUAAAAUAGACAAUUAAAACAACUUGAAAAAGUAAAGAGAUAAGGGUAAGAAACAGUCUGCAACAAGGAUUUUAUACUGAUUCGUUUUGCGAUCCACUACAAAACUACAUUCAGUCCUCCACUUUCGAUCUUGGGAGAUUUUCUUCUCUAAAACUAAAACAAAUGUAUAUUACAUACACACUUCCAACAUAAGACCUUAGAUGCUACCUUCUUGAAUUCCUAGAACCCCUACAUUGGUUUGACUACUCUAAUCGCCUAGGAAAACCUUUCCUACGAUCUAGCCCCAGCCAAGAGUAUGUACUAAACUCAAGACCUCUAAGUCUUGGUGAAGACUCACUGAAUCUCGUUGGUGGUAAGACACCAAGAGACGACUUUACUUAUCACAAAAACAACAAAAAAACAGAGUAUUGUGAAGCACAAUAUGCCUCAAUUAUUACAAUUAAAGACCAACUAUAAACCCUAUACAAAUCUCACAAAUCAUCAAGAAUAUGUAUAAGAUCAUAAUCAUGCAGAAACAUAUAAUGUCUACCCUACGAAAUCUCUAAAAUAAAUGAAAGAAUCAUGCAAGAAAAGAUAGAAUGAUGAACACAUUUAAUCACAUGCAAUUGGAUGACAUUUUUAAUCUCUAAGCAUGAUACUAUCUCUCGCUAUCUCACAUGCAAUUCUCUCUGCCUAUAUCACAUACAAUGAGCACGAAAACAUGCAACUUAGCAAUUCUAAAAAAUGAAUGAAUGUAUGAAGCAUGGUGUAAAAACACAGUUUAUAUAGAAAAGCUGUUAGACGUCCUUUUAGUCGGUUAAGUGCCCUUUUAAUCGAUUAACGGGUUGUUGAGAAUAACUGAAUUCUGUUUUUCAGGUAUAUGUUAAAACUAAUUAAAACUGAUUUCACGUUAAUUGAUUAACGCCUUGCUUAAUCGAUUAACUGACAUAUUUCCAGCUAAGAGAUUAAAUGGUAAACUACCUAUGGUUAUGUUUAUCAACUAUACAUGUUUUACCAUUAUGUUAUGCCUAAGAUGCACAAAUAACAUGUAUGAUUAAUGCAUGAACAUAUAAUAAUCUAGAUGACAUGUCUCAUGUAAAUGAUAAGAUAGUUUUUAGGACUUGUGAAAUUUGCAUCUAGGUUUACCUAACCUAGACUCAAUAACUAAGACGCAUAUCUAAGACUACUAAUGAUUACUCUAUUUAUGACUAUAGUCUAGACAUGAAGCUCUUGAGUCCUUGGCAUGUUGAUUUGUUGAGUUAUCUUUAAGCUUUCACUAAAUCCUUGUCUUCAUCAAAACAUAGGCAAUCUAAUAGUGCUAUCUUGACACUUUGCACUUUCAACACAAUUAUCAAAAAGAGGAUAGCACAUUCAGAACACACAUCACAGUGAGAGAAGGAGAGCAACACGUACACAAAAAAACACAGUUGUUAUAGCUCACAUAUACUCAAGCAUCUAUAAUAUACACACACAUUGAAACCAGAAAGUUCAGGCACUGAUCCAUCACGCAUAGCCCAUAUACGCGCAUCACAAAUCAGAGGACAUCACACAAAGACAAAAAAAAAACAACCAGGAAUAGAAGGCCAACCCUCAAAGAGCAAAGACUAGGAUCAUAUUCACAGGUAAGUUAAUCAUCCCUUUACUUACAUAAUUGCAAGAAAAAGCACAUUUGUUAUCCGAUUAGUAUCACAAACAUAAAAAAUAACACACAUUCAGUAAGCAUGUUUAUAAGCAUUUUGUUAAUUGACAAAAUAAAUUUUACCUCAUGUCGGAAUCAUCUCCUAUGAAAAUUCCCUACUCGGCUUAGCCUUCACUGACCUUGCAGUGGUCUGAAGGCGUAAUUCGUGAGCCAUUGUCAAUACUGACAUUACUCUAUUUAUGUACCCUUCAAGAGCUUGAACCAACUCAACCCACCAUAGAGGAGAGUACCGAAAUCCUCCCUAUCCAUGUAUUACCCAUAGGAAAGAACCCCCUAGUUUCAUCAAAGCAGAACCCAUUCACCGAAACAUCUUUCAAAAAAAAAAUCAAAACGUCAAACCACCAUCGACUCCGUCUCAUCACCAUUGCUGCCCGAGAAGGAAGAGAAGAGAGAAGAUGGCCAUACCUCACUCAUCACCUUCGCCCAAACGGCCAUCCCCCACGCUUGAACCGCGAAUCACCAUUGUGGGAAGCUUAAAAAACGAACUGUGAAUCAUCCUUGAGCUUGAUCCUUUGCUAGAGAAAAAGGGAGAUGAAAUUAGGGGUUUGUUUCCCUUUUCUUUAGAUGGCACGAAGAUAUGGGGUUAUUACCUUGUUUCACAAAACUUCACUUUUG